Molecule: RNA transcript, 2173 nt
Organism: Pollicipes pollicipes
Lineage: Eukaryota; Metazoa; Arthropoda; Thecostraca; Pollicipedomorpha; Pollicipedidae
Gene name: small integral membrane protein 14
Exons: 6
Source: RefSeq, a predicted model, not a curated record
AGUGCGCUGCACAAGCUUGUUUUACUGUGCCCGUGCGGCCGGUGGCUUGAUUUUAGUUGUGCAUUGUGGUGCUUAGUUAACGUAGGCCUGUUUACAACGAGCGGGUUUAUCUUGAUUGAAGGAGUGGCGUCUGGCCAGCGCUUUUCCCCCUCUGGCCACAUUUCCUCUGGUCUUGGGUGGCACAUAUUGUCCUAUUGCAGGUUCUGAAUCCGCAUUUUCACUUCAUCUAAAUUGGUUGUUAUUUCAAACAAGAUCACUCAAAGGAAGGCAGCAAAAAGAUGGCUGAUGGAUAUGACCCCUGUGCUUGUAUCUGGGAUCAUGGCAUGGCCAUGAGGCGCCUCAUCUCUCUGCUACGUGGCAUGCAAGGAUUCUGCACAGAUAGUGAAUGCUUUGGUGAAUUACCGGGCCCGACGGCGGACAGCUCUGGCGGCAAUGACAUGAUGAUGAUGGCAGUGGUGUGGGUGGUGCUUGGCGUGCUGCUGUACCUGUUCCGACCCAGCUCGAUGCGCAACCGGGGCGACGGCAAGCCCGACAGACUGGACCAGGGCCCGGGCAAUAACCCGCCGCCCACGAGCAACUAGCGCUCGCCCGUCACCCGGCCCGCCGCUGACCACCUCUCCUGUGAUAACCGGCCGUCUCGGCGCCGGCGGCCGGACACCGCCCGUCUCGACCCCACUCACCUCGGGGAGCUGUCCGCGAUCGCCGCGUCCGGCCGCUCCGCCUCUGCGGCGCCCGCCAUACCGCCACGCCGCGUCUGGCGCGCCCCGGCAACGGCUGGUACAGCGUUACCUCUCGCAGCGCUGCCGGCCCCUGGUGCUCGACGGAAGACGUCCUGCGGCUCCAUAGCCAAGGCGCCGCCGUAGCGCGGAGGCAGACCCUCUGUUGGCGCCCCAUGGGUGGAGCGGCUGACUUGCGCCAGGGAGGAGUGUCCCGGGACAGGAUGUCCGCAUCAGUAUCGGGGCACGUCGGGCCCGCCCGCGCCGCCGGCGGGAAGGGGCGUUCGCUGACCCGAGCUGGCUCUGUCCCGUCGUCGUCGCACCGUUCUGAUGUCUAUUUUUGGGGUGUGUGCUCUGCGGUCUGGGUACGGCUUGGAUUUGGUAAUCGCUUUAAAGCUAAAUCUUCCCGAACAGGAAGGUUGUCUUGCUGUGGGGAAAUGGAAUUGAUGAGCACCCGUGGCUUAUUCACUUGGUGCGAUUAGGUUAACUUAAUCAUUAGAGGAAAUUGAUGGAUACAUUCCGGGCGGUUUCUGUGCAUGCUACACGGCAUAUAUACAGCUGAACAGACUUCACUGCUUCGCCUUUAAGGCUUCAUAAGGGAGGCCUCGUUUUUGUCGCACAAGUCCAUAAGUGUAGUACAAAAACCACACAGCACGUGAUGACGCGUGUUUGGCGCCACGCCAAACAACAUUAAAACUCAGGGAGCUAGCGAUCGCGGCUGUCAAUAGCAGACGCCCAUACACGUGGACAGGCCAUGGGAAGGAAAUAAUUGGACGAUUCGUGUACACAUAUGUAUCAGGGAUGUGCAUUCACUGCUAUACCCCUAUAUGUGCCCAGGAUGCCCAGUAACCCUCUUUUUUCCUUUCUAGACUUGUCCAGGUGUGUUAGUGUCUGCUAUUGAUAGCUGCGGUUACUAGCUCCUUGCGGUUUCCAGCUAUGUUCGUCUCUUCAAACACGUGUCACCGAAUGCUGUAUAAUGCUUUUUGUACUUGUGAAUUUGUCCUGUAAAAACGAAGCCUUCUUGCUGAAAGCUUACUUAUGGGUGAAAGCGUUGAGAUCUGUUCUGUUAGUUAAAUAACUAAAAGUUAGGUACCAUACAUACAUAUAUAUAUAUAUAUAUAUAUAUAUAUAUAUAUAUAUAUAUCCAGAUUUAAGAAAUACACACGAGUACUUCUUGUUAAUUGCGUGUCUUAACCGGGUCGCGUAUCCUCGCGUAGAAUCUACCGCGGUCGUGCGCGACUGUUGGGAGCUGCGCGUCUGUUCUGUUUGAUUGGUAAUAUGAUUUCGCCGUCGCCGUGUUUGUUCUGAGGUAGCGGACCGGAUGCUGGGUUUGUCCGCUGUGGCGAUGGGAGGCCGCAUCGCAUCGCACCCUGUGCAGUGCCGGGUGCGCUUGCGAUCAAUCAUCCUGUUAGCGUUCCGUCGACACUACUGAAUACACGGAUAUAUACGGAUCAGGA